GACUACAUAUCAAACUUAAACUGAAGAGUUUGAUCAUGGCUCAGAUUGAACGCUGGCGGCAGGCCUAAUACAUGCAAGUCGAGCGGAAACGAUGGAGCUUGCUCCAGGCGUCGAGCGGCGGACGGGUGAGUAACGCGUAGGAAUCUGCCCAGUAGAGGGGGAUAGCCCGGGGAAACUCGGA
This 181-nucleotide ribosomal RNA is filed under the name Gammaproteobacteria bacterium. RNAcentral's name for it is "partial 16S ribosomal RNA". It matches the Rfam family "Bacterial small subunit ribosomal RNA", at positions 1 to 162 of the family's 1533-position model. Lineage: Bacteria; Pseudomonadati; Pseudomonadota; Gammaproteobacteria. The record is from RNAcentral.